GGGUUGUGAGGUUAAGCGACUAAGCGUACACGGUGGAUGCCCUGGCAGUCAGAGGCGAUGAAGGACGUGCUAAUCUGCGAUAAGCGUCGGUAAGGUGAUAUGAACCGUUAUAACCGGCGAUUUCCGAAUGGGGAAACCCAGUGUGUUUCGACACACUAUCAUUAACUGAAUCCAUAGGUUAAUGAGGCGAACCGGGGGAACUGAAACAUCUAAGUACCCCGAGGAAAAGAAAUCAACCGAGAUUCCCCCAGUAGCGGCGAGCGAACGGGGAGCAGCCCAGAGCCUGAAUCAGUGUGUGUGUUAGUGGAAGCGUCUGGAAAGGCGCGCGAUACAGGGUGACAGCCCCGUACACAAAAAUGCACAUGCUGUGAGCUCGAUGAGUAGGGCGGGACACGUGGUAUCCUGUCUGAAUAUGGGGGGACCAUCCUCCAAGGCUAAAUACUCCUGACUGACCGAUAGUGAACCAGUACCGUGAGGGAAAGGCGAAAAGAACCCCGGCGAGGGGAGUGAAAAAGAACCUGAAACCGUGUACGUACAAGCAGUGGGAGCACGCUUAGGCGUGUGACUGCGUACCUUUUGUAUAAUGGGUCAGCGACUUAUAUUCUGUAGCAAGGUUAACCGAAUAGGGGAGCCGAAGGGAAACCGAGUCUUAACUGGGCGUUAAGUUGCAGGGUAUAGACCCGAAACCCGGUGAUCUAGCCAUGGGCAGGUUGAAGGUUGGGUAACACUAACUGGAGGACCGAACCGACUAAUGUUGAAAAAUUAGCGGAUGACUUGUGGCUGGGGGUGAAAGGCCAAUCAAACCGGGAGAUAGCUGGUUCUCCCCGAAAGCUAUUUAGGUAGCGCCUCGUGAAUUCAUCUCCGGGGGUAGAGCACUGUUUCGGCAAGGGGGUCAUCCCGACUUACCAACCCGAUGCAAACUGCGAAUACCGGAGAAUGUUAUCACGGGAGACACACGGCGGGUGCUAACGUCCGUCGUGAAGAGGGAAACAACCCAGACCGCCAGCUAAGGUCCCAAAGUCAUGGUUAAGUGGGAAACGAUGUGGGAAGGCCCAGACAGCCAGGAUGUUGGCUUAGAAGCAGCCAUCAUUUAAAGAAAGCGUAAUAGCUCACUGGUCGAGUCGGCCUGCGCGGAAGAUGUAACGGGGCUAAACCAUGCACCGAAGCUGCGGCAGCGACACUAUGUGUUGUUGGGUAGGGGAGCGUUCUGUAAGCCUGUGAAGGUGUACUGUGAGGUAUGCUGGAGGUAUCAGAAGUGCGAAUGCUGACAUAAGUAACGAUAAAGCGGGUGAAAAGCCCGCUCGCCGGAAGACCAAGGGUUCCUGUCCAACGUUAAUCGGGGCAGGGUGAGUCGACCCCUAAGGCGAGGCCGAAAGGCGUAGUCGAUGGGAAACAGGUUAAUAUUCCUGUACUUGGUGUUACUGCGAAGGGGGGACGGAGAAGGCUAUGUUGGCCGGGCGACGGUUGUCCCGGUUUAAGCGUGUAGGCUGGUUUUCCAGGCAAAUCCGGAAAAUCAAGGCUGAGGCGUGAUGACGAGGCACUACGGUGCUGAAGCAACAAAUGCCCUGCUUCCAGGAAAAGCCUCUAAGCAUCAGGUAACAUCAAAUCGUACCCCAAACCGACACAGGUGGUCAGGUAGAGAAUACCAAGGCGCUUGAGAGAACUCGGGUGAAGGAACUAGGCAAAAUGGUGCCGUAACUUCGGGAGAAGGCACGCUGAUAUGUAGGUGAAGUCCCUCGCGGAUGGAGCUGAAAUCAGUCGAAGAUACCAGCUGGCUGCAACUGUUUAUUAAAAACACAGCACUGUGCAAACACGAAAGUGGACGUAUACGGUGUGACGCCUGCCCGGUGCCGGAAGGUUAAUUGAUGGGGUUAGCCGCAAGGCGAAGCUCUUGAUCGAAGCCCCGGUAAACGGCGGCCGUAACUAUAACGGUCCUAAGGUAGCGAAAUUCCUUGUCGGGUAAGUUCCGACCUGCACGAAUGGCGUAAUGAUGGCCAGGCUGUCUCCACCCGAGACUCAGUGAAAUUGAACUCGCUGUGAAGAUGCAGUGUACCCGCGGCAAGACGGAAAGACCCCGUGAACCUUUACUAUAGCUUGACACUGAACAUUGAGCCUUGAUGUGUAGGAUAGGUGGGAGGCUUUGAAGUGUGGACGCCAGUCUGCAUGGAGCCGACCUUGAAAUACCACCCUUUAAUGUUUGAUGUUCUAACGUUGACCCGUAAUCCGGGUUGCGGACAGUGUCUGGUGGGUAGUUUGACUGGGGCGGUCUCCUCCUAAAGAGUAACGGAGGAGCACGAAGGUUGGCUAAUCCUGGUCGGACAUCAGGAGGUUAGUGCAAUGGCAUAAGCCAGCUUGACUGCGAGCGUGACGGCGCGAGCAGGUGCGAAAGCAGGUCAUAGUGAUCCGGUGGUUCUGAAUGGAAGGGCCAUCGCUCAACGGAUAAAAGGUACUCCGGGGAUAACAGGCUGAUACCGCCCAAGAGUUCAUAUCGACGGCGGUGUUUGGCACCUCGAUGUCGGCUCAUCACAUCCUGGGGCUGAAGUAGGUCCCAAGGGUAUGGCUGUUCGCCAUUUAAAGUGGUACGCGAGCUGGGUUUAGAACGUCGUGAGACAGUUCGGUCCCUAUCUGCCGUGGGCGCUGGAGAACUGAGGGGGGCUGCUCCUAGUACGAGAGGACCGGAGUGGACGCAUCACUGGUGUUCGGGUUGUCAUGCCAAUGGCACUGCCCGGUAGCUAAAUGCGGAAGAGAUAAGUGCUGAAAGCAUCUAAGCACGAAACUUGCCCCGAGAUGAGUUCUCCCUGACCCUUUAAGGGUCCUGAAGGAACGUUGAAGACGACGACGUUGAUAGGCCGGGUGUGUAAGCGCAGCGAUGCGUUGAGCUAACCGGUACUAAUGAACCGUGAGGCUUAACCUUACAACGCCGAAGCUGUU
This 2931-nucleotide ribosomal RNA is filed under the name Escherichia coli. RNAcentral's name for it is "bacterial LSU rRNA". It matches the Rfam family "Bacterial large subunit ribosomal RNA". The record is from RNAcentral. Lineage: Bacteria; Pseudomonadati; Pseudomonadota; Gammaproteobacteria; Enterobacterales; Enterobacteriaceae.